GACGAACGCUGGCGGCGUGCUUAACACAUGCAAGUCGAACGAGGUCCACCGCGUAGCAAUACAAGGGAAGACCUAGUGGCGAACGGGUGCGUAACACGUGAGGAACUUGUCCCGGUCUCUGGGAUAACAGUUGGAAACGACUGCUAAUACCGGAUGACGUCGGAAUCUCGCAUGGGAUACUGACGAAAGGGUUACUGGAUCGGGAGAGCCUCGCGGCCUAUCAGCUUGUUGGUGAGGUAACGGCUCACCAAGGCAUCGACGGGUAGCUGGUCUGAGAGGAUGAUCAGCCACACUGGGACUGAGACACGGCCCAGACUCCUACGGGAGGCAGCAGUGGGGAAUCUUGCGCAAUGGGCGAAAGCCUGACGCAGCAACGCCGCGUGCGGGAAGAAGGCCCUCGGGUUGUAAACCGCUUUCAGAAGGAACGAAAAUGACGGUACUUUCAGAAGAAGGUGCGGCCAACUACGUG
This 469-nucleotide ribosomal RNA is filed under the name uncultured bacterium. RNAcentral describes it as "bacterial SSU rRNA". It matches the Rfam family "Bacterial small subunit ribosomal RNA", at positions 28 to 507 of the family's 1533-position model. The record is from RNAcentral.